Molecule: ribosomal RNA, 1391 nt
Filed under: uncultured bacterium
Lineage: Bacteria
Description: bacterial SSU rRNA
Rfam family: Bacterial small subunit ribosomal RNA
Source: RNAcentral
UAGAGUUUGAUCCUGGCUCAGAUUGAACGCUGGCGGCAUGCCUUACACAUGCAAGUCGAACGGUAACGGGUCCUUCGGGAUGCCGACGAGUGGCGAACGGGUGAGUAAUAUAUCGGAACGUGCCCAGUAGUGGGGGAUAACUGCUCGAAAGAGCAGCUAAUACCGCAUACGACCUGAGGGUGAAAGGGGGGGAUCGCAAGACCUCUCGCUAUUGGAGCGGCCGAUAUCAGAUUAGCUAGUUGGUGGGGUAAAGGCCUACCAAGGCAACGAUCUGUAGUUGGUCUGAGAGGACGACCAGCCACACUGUGACUGAGACACGGCCCAGACUCCUACGGAAGGCAGCAGUGGGGAAUUUUGGACAAUGGGCGCAAGCCUGAUCCAGCAAUGCCGCGUGCAGGAAGAAGGCCUUCGGGUUGUAAACUGCUUUUGUCAGGGAAGAAAUCUUCUGGGCUAAUACCCCGGGAGGAUGACGGUACCUGAAGAAUAAGCACCGGCUAACUACGUGCCAGCAGCCGCGGUAAUACGUAGGGUGCGAGCGUUAAUCGGAAUUACUGGGCGUAAAGCGUGCGCAGGCGGCUUUGCAAGACAGAUGUGAAAUCCCCGGGCUCAACCUGGGAACUGCAUUUGUGACUGCAAGGCUAGAGUACGGCAGAGGGGGAUGGAAUUCCGCGUGUAGCAGUGAAAUGCGUAGAUAUGCGGAGGAACACCAAUGGCGAAGGCAAUCCCCUGGGCCUGUACUGACGCUCAUGCACGAAAGCGUGGGGAGCAAACAGAAUUAGAUACCCUGGUAGUCCACGCCCUAAACGAUGUCAACAGGGUGUUGGACGGCUAGCUGUCCAGUAAGAAGCUAACGCGUGAAGUUGACCGCCUGGGGAGAACGGCCGCAAGGUUAAACUCAAAGGAAUUGCGGGGGACCCGCACAAAGCGGUGGAUGAUGUGGUUUAAUUCGAUGCAACGCGAAAAACCUUACCUACCCUUGACAUGUCAAGAAUUUCGCAGAGAUGUGAAAGUGCUCGAAAGAGAACUCCAACACAGGUGCUGCAUGGCCGUCGUCAGCUCGUGUCGUGAGAUGUUGGGUUAAGUCCCGCAACGAGCGCAACCCUUGUCAUUAGUUGCUACGCAAGAGCACUCUAAUGAGACUGCCGGUGACAAACCGGAGGAAGGUGGGGAUGACGUCAGGUCCUCAUGGCCCUUAUGGGUAGGGCUACACACGUCAUACAAUGGCCGGUACAGAGGGCUGCCAACCCGCGAGGGGGAGCCAAUCCCAGAAAACCGGUCGUAGUCCGGAUCGUAGUCUGCAACUCGACUGCGUGAAGUCGGAAUCGCUAGUAAUCGCGGAUCAGCUUGCCGCGGUGAAUACGAUGCGCGGGUCUUGUACACACCGCCCGUCA